AUGUUUGAUGAGGAAAUUGCGAAUGAUAAAAAGAACAUGAAAUUUCUUGAAGAUGUCGCAAAACUAGCAGCUGAAUGCUUGAAAAUGGAGGAUAAAAUGCGUCCAGAAAUGGUUGAAGUCGCGGACAGACUUAGGACAAUUAGAAAGGCCUACCGCCACCACAAGGGCAUAAAUGCUACAGGUAGCAACUCUGGACUUCCUAAAAGUGGAAAGGCAGAGGACGUGAUACCAUUAGUGGUACCAUCCAUUUCCAUGGAUAAACUGAAGGAAGUAACCAGGAACUUUAGCAUUGAUGCUCUAAUAGGACAGAGCUUACAGAUUAAAUUCUUUUUUGGAGUGCUGAAAGAUGGACGUAAAUCCAUGAUCAUGAAGAUUAGGCCUACUACAGAAAUUGUUUUGGAGGUUCCGGUGGUCUCAAGAUUCAGACAUGAGAAUGUUCUCCAGCUUCUCGGACACUGUGUUGAAGGAGACAACCGGGUUCUUGCUUGCGAGUACGCAUCCAGGGGAUCCUUGCAAGAUAUUCUUCAUGGUAAAAGCAAUGUUUCGGGAGCUGAACGAGGACCUGUUCUAUCAUGGACGCAACGCAUGAGGAUUGCCAUGGAUGCUGCAGCUGGGCUUGAGUUCCUCCACGAGAAAGCACAGCCUUGCAUAAUCCACAGUUGCAUCAGGUCCAGCAACAUAUUUCUCUUUGACAGGGACGUUGCAAAGAUUGGUUGGCCUGGUGUUUCCAGACAGGCUAACUACUGCACAGAAGCUGUCUGUUUUGUUUCUCGUGGUUAUGACGCGCCUGAGACUGUAACGGGCGGUCAACAUUCUACGAUGAGCGAUGUCCACAGCUUCGGGGUUGUCCUGCUAGAACUUUUAACCGGUCGAAAGGAACUUGAUUGUACACUACCACAUGCCCAACGAUUUCUUGUGACAUGGGCUAGACCAAGACUUGAUGAAUGCAAGGUGCAAGAAAUUGUUGAUGCGAGGCUUGGAGGAGAUUACCCUCCCGAGGCUAUCGCCAAGAUGGCUGCAAUCGUGGCAUGCUGUAUACAGUCGAAGGCGGACCUCCGGCCAAACAUGAGCAGCGUCGUCAUGGCCCUAAAGCCGUUGCUUCUCUAG
Molecule: ribosomal RNA, 1107 nt
Filed under: Triticum aestivum (bread wheat)
Lineage: Eukaryota; Viridiplantae; Streptophyta; Magnoliopsida; Poales; Poaceae
Description: partial small subunit ribosomal RNA
Source: RNAcentral